CCUGCGCGGCCGGGGAAGGGGAUGGGGCUCUUGGUUUGGUCCUGCUCGACGCCCCGGCCCCCUCCCGAGCCCCGCCCAGGCGCGCCGACUCGCAGCUCCCUACCCAGUGUCGCUGGCAGCUGGAGCAGCAGCAGCAGUAGCAGCGCCGGGAGGCCCAGGGUCCGGCAGCCGCGCGCCCGCCUCCGGGCCAUGGCAGCCGCUUUGCAGGGCCCCGCUGGGCGCCCCGGGCGAGCGCUGCCCAGGCCCUGGGGAGCUGGCGAGUGCGGCUGUGGGACCUGCCGUCCCGCCAGGCGCAUUCGCUUUCGCUUUUGCUUUGGCCCCCGAAGGGCUGCGGAGAGGUGCAGAGCGGUGACAGAUUCGUGACUCAGCGUCCCCACCCCUGCUGGGGAAGGAGCCCCACCGGCCGUGCGGCCCCGCAUAGCCGCCCCUCUACUCGGGACGCCACGCGCCGUGCCCGGUGGGGUCCCAGGACCUUACCCACGCAAGCCCGGGAGCCUACCGGUUCUCCGCGCGCCUCGUGCUCCAGGACCCCCAGUGUGCGCUCGGUUCGGUGUCCAUACUGCCGAGAGAGUGGGCGAAGCCGUCGGAGAGCAGACUCUUUUCAGUCCCCUCUGUGCUCGGAUCCACUGGACCUCGCCCUGCGCUGGUCGCCUACAGCUGCGCAACUUCGACUUUCCAGGUCUCCCUCUGGGGCCCUGCGCUCAGCUUUGAGCAGCCGGCCCGGGUGAGUGCCCGUGGAGGUGUCGCCGCGGAGCGGAGACGCAGGGACCUGCCUGUGCGCUCUGGCCCAGGGAGAGCACAGCCCCUGCCACCUGAUCACUCCCGCGGCGACCGGCUGGCGCCCCAGCUCUGACUUGGCCGAAUUCCUGCUGCAGCUUUGCUUCCCAGGAAAAUGCCUGUAUUAGAAGGAGGGAGUGGGAGCGAGGAAAAGCGGGAGAGGAGCCACCAUGCUUCAUCUUUGCGCCAGGCUUCCUAGGUUCUUCCAGGCUGCCAUCCUCCUCUUUGGCAGAUAUUUUUUGGAAUCAAAACAAUUACAGAUAAAUUUGAAGCCGCUCUGUAUUCCUGCAUCUUUCUCUUCCUCCGUCUUCCACCUUCUCACAGAAAAGUACGGUGUUGGAAUGACCACCAUGCAGAACCUGAAGAAACAGAGGGAUAGACUGUGGAAGUUCAGUGCUGCAAGUGACUCAUAGGAGUUAACGAAAAAUAGGAAAACACUGCGUAAAGCUGAAAAGGAAGAUCUCAACUGCGCACUGGAAAAGUGACCCAUCAAUAUCGCAGUGGACACCUGCCACUUGAUGCUGAUCAUGAAACAAGAAUGAUCUAUUACGAUGAACUGAAAAU
Non-coding RNA from Saimiri boliviensis boliviensis (Bolivian squirrel monkey), 1341 nucleotides. Lineage: Eukaryota; Metazoa; Chordata; Mammalia; Primates; Cebidae. The record is from RefSeq and is a predicted model, not a curated record.